This 500-nucleotide ribosomal RNA is filed under the name uncultured bacterium. RNAcentral's name for it is "partial 16S ribosomal RNA". It matches the Rfam family "Bacterial small subunit ribosomal RNA", at positions 30 to 523 of the family's 1533-position model. The record is from RNAcentral.
AUUGAACGCUGGCGGCAUGCCUUACACAUGCAAGUCGAACGGCAGCACGGGAGCAAUCCUGGUGGCGAGUGGCGAACGGGUGAGUAAUGUAUCGGAACGUGCCCAGUCGUGGGGGAUAACGCAGCGAAAGCUGUGCUAAUACCGCAUACGAUCUAUGGAUGAAAGCGGGGGAUCGCAAGACCUCGCGCGAUUGGAGCGGCCGAUAUCAGAUUAGGUAGUUGGUGGGGUAAAGGCCCACCAAGCCGACGAUCUGUAGCUGGUCUGAGAGGACGACCAGCCACACUGGGACUGAGACACGGCCCAGACUCCUACGGGAGGCAGCAGUGGGGAAUUUUGGACAAUGGGCGCAAGCCUGAUCCAGCAAUGCCGCGUGCAGGAUGAAGGCCUUCGGGUUGUAAACUGCUUUUGUACGGAGCGAAACGGCUUCCACUAAUACUGGGGGCUAAUGACGGUACCGUAAGAAUAAGCACCGGCUAACUACGUGCCAGCCGCCGCAGUAA